This 500-nucleotide ribosomal RNA is filed under the name uncultured bacterium. RNAcentral's name for it is "partial 16S ribosomal RNA". It matches the Rfam family "Bacterial small subunit ribosomal RNA", at positions 30 to 523 of the family's 1533-position model. The record is from RNAcentral.
AUUGAACGCUGGCGGAAUGCUUUACACAUGCAAGUCGAACGGCAGCACGGACUUCGGUCUGGUGGCGAGUGGCGAACGGGUGAGUAAUGUAUCGGAACGUGCCCAGUCGUGGGGGAUAACGUAGUGAAAAUUACGCUAAUACCGCAUACGAUCUAUGGAUGAAAGCGGGGGAUCGCAAGACCUCGAGCGAUUGGAGCGGCCGAUAUCAGAUUAGGUAGUUGGUGGGGUAAAGGCCCACCAAGCCAACGAUCUGUAGCUGGUCUGAGAGGACGACCAGCCACACUGUAACUGAGACACGGUGCGGACUCCUACGGGGGGCAGCAGUGGGGAAUGCUGGACAAUGGGCGAAAGCCUGAUCCAGCCAUGCCGCGGGCAGGAUGAAGGACCUCGGGUUGUAAACUGCUUUUGUACAGAACGAAAAGGCUUCUACUAAUACUAGGAGCUCAUGACGGUACUGUAAGAAUAAGCACCGGCUAACUACGUGCCAGCAGCCGCAGUAA